CUGAAGCUUGAUUGAACUCUUCUUGACAUCUUCUAGAGCUUGCCCUAUUAUUGUACAAGCUCCAUCUUCUCUUCAGUUCAACACUCCCCCUCAAGCUUGACUUUAGGAGAUCCUAAGCCAAGCUUGGAACUCUGAAGAGUCUCCCUCAUUAAAAACCUUACAAGGAAAACCCAUUGGGACAAAACCUUGCAAGGGAAAAAGAGUAGAGCUCUCCAAAGCCUAGGGAUUGGCCAGUGAGCUCUUGUGCCUUAGAACCAAUGUGGUUGGACACAAGAAGCUCUGGAUCACGGCCUA
Molecule: long non-coding RNA, 294 nt
Filed under: Brassica rapa (field mustard)
Lineage: Eukaryota; Viridiplantae; Streptophyta; Magnoliopsida; Brassicales; Brassicaceae
Description: long non-coding RNA (BRAP_LNC008880)
Source: RNAcentral